This 68-nucleotide transfer RNA is filed under the name Elasmosoma sp. QL-2014. Its description in RNAcentral is "tRNA-Ser". The record is from RNAcentral. Lineage: Eukaryota; Metazoa; Arthropoda; Insecta; Hymenoptera; Braconidae.
AAAGUAAGUAUGAGCAGUAAGAAAUUUCUAAUUUUUAUAUUUUAUGGUUAAAUUCCAUUUUUACUUUA